GUUUGCCUACGGGACGCAGCAGUGGGGGAUAUUGCACAAUGGGGGGAACCCUGAUGCAGCGACGCCGCGUGAACGAAGAAAUAUUUCGGUAUGUAAAGUUCUAUCAGCAGGGAAGAAAAUGACAGUACCUGACCAAGAAGCCCCGGCUAACUACGUGCCAGCAGCCGCGGUCAUACGUAGGGGGCGAGCGUUAUCCGGAUUCACUGGGCGUACAGGGAGCGCAGGCGGCACGGCACGUCCGGUGUGCAAGCC
RNAcentral lists this ribosomal RNA (252 nucleotides) under uncultured bacterium. RNAcentral describes it as "partial 16S ribosomal RNA". It matches the Rfam family "Bacterial small subunit ribosomal RNA", at positions 333 to 602 of the family's 1533-position model. The record is from RNAcentral.